UUUCCACAACACUGCGGUAAUUAAUUAGCUUGGUAAACAAAACGUGACUGAGAUUUUAGGAUAAAUUUCUGUUCAUUUCUUAGAGAGCGAGCAGUUUAUCUCGUGUGUGUGUGUCUAUCAUGAAGGGUGCGUACUUCACGCUCUUGUUGAUUACAGGACUAUUUGUGGCUGUCUCCUGUGACGGUACAGUGAAGUCCCUGUUGUGUGUUGCCAACGGUUCCUGCAAGACGGCGGAAGACUGUAUGAAAAUGAAGACUGAGGCCACUGAUGGAUAUGCACAUACACCCAUAUGCAGAUACGGGUGCUGCUACUAUCGUCACUAACGGGGUCAACACUACAGAGAUUGUCCAUUCUGU
Long non-coding RNA from Physella acuta, 356 nucleotides. RefSeq lists it as uncharacterized. The record is from RefSeq and is a predicted model, not a curated record. NCBI's taxonomy places the organism in Eukaryota, Metazoa, Mollusca, Gastropoda, Physidae.